Gymnodraco acuticeps is the source of this 469-nucleotide long non-coding RNA. RefSeq lists it as uncharacterized. The record is from RefSeq and is a predicted model, not a curated record. The transcript has 2 exons. Lineage: Eukaryota; Metazoa; Chordata; Actinopteri; Perciformes; Bathydraconidae.
AAGGAGGCCAGCUGCUGCUCCACCCCGCUGCUGUUGCUCCUCAUGCUGUUGAGGAGCUCCACCAGCCGGUCCAUGCUCUGUGAGCCGGGGCCCGACGCCUCCACACCAGCCUCUUCCUGAGGGGGAGAUGGAAAAGUCCAACUGAAGAACGGUUUUCCAGUGACAUCAGGGCAUGGAGCGAGAGAACGAGAGCGAUGUUUUCUUUUUCUCUUCAGGACAUGGUUUCAUGAAGUCAGACUUUGGAGAAAUAAGAUUUCAGAGUGUGUACAAUUAGAGCAGAUGUGCCGGUAUGACAUUUUGUGGCAGAUUUAGGAGUUUAGAAAUGGGAUCAAAGGUUAAAUGUUGCAAACCAUGGCAAGAAAAUCCAUAAUCAGAUAAAGAAAGAAAGCUAGAGUAUUGAGUGCAAACAAGGGUGACUGAAUAACUGGCUUAAAUUUGAGUGAGUAACCUAUUAAACAUGAAAAACCUU